Molecule: long non-coding RNA, 379 nt
Filed under: Gorilla gorilla gorilla (western lowland gorilla)
Lineage: Eukaryota; Metazoa; Chordata; Mammalia; Primates; Hominidae
Description: lncRNA (ENSGGOG00000044596.1)
Source: RNAcentral
GUGUGUGUAAUAGAACACUCUGCCCAACAGUGGCUUAAACAAGUGAAAGGUCUUUAUAUUUUAUACAACAAGAGCUUCAAGGGUAGUAAAGUAUUGACAUGAGAAAUCAACACAUGUUCUGCAUUCUUGGCAUGUGGACUUUAUCCUUCCAGCCGCAACUCAAAUGACCCAAAGUCAGACAUCACAUCCACAUUUCAGCUAAGGCAAAGGCUUUUUCUUGGCCUCCACUCAGCAGUAUGCAAAAAGCUGAAGCUUUUAAAGUGGGAGAAGAAACAGAAGGAACAGAGGAGGUAAGCUUUUGUUUCACAAAGAAAUUCCAGCAAGUUACCUAGGGAUACAUUAUUAAUCAACUUCACCUGUUGAUAGUACAGGUUGGUUU